Coffea eugenioides is the source of this 186-nucleotide long non-coding RNA. RefSeq lists it as uncharacterized. NCBI's taxonomy places the organism in Eukaryota, Viridiplantae, Streptophyta, Magnoliopsida, Gentianales, Rubiaceae. The transcript is spliced from 3 exons. The record is from RefSeq and is a predicted model, not a curated record.
CAUAAUAAACAGAUCUUUGCCAAACGGGCUGAAGAGCACGAAAGAUUCAUCAACAAGGUUGCACUGAUUGGGAGCUUUUUGGGUUGAUAGGUGACUUAUUUGUUGAGUGUUCUUGGGUUUGGAACAUUCUGCUUUCUGUUGGGUGCCAGGCCUCAAGAUGUCCCUUAUGCAUAUUGUUUGCUCUCU